Molecule: ribosomal RNA, 510 nt
Filed under: Cerithideopsis montagnei
Lineage: Eukaryota; Metazoa; Mollusca; Gastropoda; Potamididae
Description: partial 16S ribosomal RNA
Rfam family: Bacterial large subunit ribosomal RNA
Source: RNAcentral
GGCUCCUCGUUUAUGUGCCUAAUUUAUGAGGAGUCGAACCUGCCCAGUGAGGUUUUUAACGGCCGCGGUACUCUGACCGUGCAAAGGUAGCAUAAUCAUUUGCCUUAUAAUUGAAGGCUAGUAUGAAUGGUUUGACGAAAGCAGAUCUGUCUCCUUCUUAUUUUAUAGAAUUUAACUUUCGGGUGAAGAGGCUCGGAUAUGAUUGAAGGACAAGAAGACCCUGUCGAGCUUAAAAGAAUAUAUAGAAGUUUUUAUAAACUUUAAAUAAAUAGUCUAUUGAGCUUUUUAGUUGGGGCGACUAAGGAACAAAAAAAGCUUCUUAAGCACGAAAAACUUACAAGUUUAGAUCCAACCAGUUUGAUCAAAGAAAUUAGUUACCGCAGGGAUAACAGCAUAAUCUCUCUUGAGAGACCUAAUCGAAAGGGGGGGUUGUGACCUCGAUGUUGGACUAGAAUAUCCUAAAGAUGCAGAAGUCUUUGAGGGUUGGUCUGUUCGACCAUUAAAAUUCUA